This 2795-nucleotide long non-coding RNA is filed under the name Olea europaea (common olive). RNAcentral describes it as "long non-coding RNA (OEUR_LNC001535)". The record is from RNAcentral. Lineage: Eukaryota; Viridiplantae; Streptophyta; Magnoliopsida; Lamiales; Oleaceae.
AUAUUUAAUCAUCGUUGAGCUCGAUGGAACUUGUACUAAUAUGCUUAACAAAAAAUAAGAAAAAAAUAAUAUUUGUCUAAUAAAGCGUCCAAUACAAUCAAAUAUGGGAUAUCGAAAAAAAAAAUACGCAAUAAAAAUUUUUGUUCCCUGAAUAUCAAAAAUCUCCUCUCCUCUAACCAGCUACUUUGCUCAUUUCUCCCUAUGCCAAAAACAUAUAGAUUUAUCAAUGACGGCUCCUGGCUCAUUUCCCCCUUUGUUGCAGGUAAUUUCUUUGAUUCUUGAUGCUCAAUAGUAUUCUCUAAUCCUCCUCCGUAAUGGGAUUAGCUUAUAAAGAAGUAGAAAAUAUCUAGGACUACAAUGUUAUAUAUCACGAUUUCCUACUAAAACAAUGCAAUCACCAGCAUAGUAUAAUCCGAAAAUUUCUAGAAGAUAUUUCCCUUGAGCAAGAGGUUCAUUUGUAAAGCAAAGCUCAAAUAUGAAUACUAUGGUCAUUGGUUAUCUUUUCUUUUACUGCUGUUCUCUGGAGGAAGUGCUGUGAACUGGAUGAUCCUUUGAACUUGGGCAGCAUCGACAUGAAACCUCUCAGCAAUUUGAGGAAUAUUCAUAGGACCAUCAUGAUCAUCAGCCUUGCCUUGGUGCAGCAGGAUGAUUUGGCGUAUUUGUGCAACAUUUAGGGUUCCGGGAGGAGCAGGUAAUUCCUCGUAUCUGCUAGAAUCUAGUGUCGUAUUCCUUAGUUUAGGCAAAGGCCUUUUGUACUUCUCCACCAAAAAGGCCUGUGAAAAUAGUUCGGGGUCAAUAAUAGAUUCGCUUGAUAUAAACAAAAAUAGCCGAAGGACUCGAUCAUUCAAAUUCACUAUCAGCCCCUUAAUGAGCCGUACGAAAUGGCAAAAAAGAUUUGUAUAGCCAACCUCAAAUUUGUUAAGAACGAGGCUCAGUUCAAAAAUACUCUGUUUAGACCAUUCCAAUUCAAACAUAACACAACUGACUGCAAACUCAUGCCUGAUAAGUUUGUUCUAGGGUCCAAAUAACAGCAGCUGCUAUGCCAAGCCAGCUUAUACACAUUCAUGUGAUCCUUACACACCCAAUCAUAUAAACCACUGCGGUACUAGCUUUUGAUCUGGGCGCACCGACACUUCAGGGCCGGUUACUUAAUUGCUGCAGAGAGCCAUCCAAUGGCCCUCUCAAAGGUCCAAACAACAAACUGAAACUUACUGCGUGCUAGUCUAGGGAUGGCAAACUGCUGGCGAUGUAGCCACCAUGACAAGCCUUCCGCCGCCUUAUUGCCCCCACUUGGGUUACAGGCACGCGUUACUGCACCCGGCAGCCACACGUCUAGGCAUAGGUAAUAUAAAGUGUGAAAAACUUUUAAAGAUUCUCGAUGUGGGACAAUAUAGUAAACGACAUAGUUUUGCAGAAAAUUCUACGCUGCGGUCUCAUGGAGGCAAUGUUGCAGCUUAGGUACCUCGAAUCCUUCCCCUCUCUCAAACCGCUCUGUAUUCUCUCUCUAAAGCAUGGAUUUUUGGAGGGUUUUGCUUUGCGAAGAGGAAAUGGGCUUGACAACCAUCGAAAAACCGGGUCGAGUUAUGGCCCAUAAUGUUAACGUGUAUAUAAUUGCAGUGAUUUAAGUUUACAAGGAUAUGUCUGGGAUUACCUCUUCAUUCAUCUUCUGCUUUUUAUAAAUGAAUCACUUUGGGUUUGAAAAAGCUUUAUUAACCAAAUAAAACACUCUUAGAAAAUUAUCCAAAUAAAUCAAAAUUCAACUACUUUAUCCCAAUCUCGUAUGAACUAAAAUCUAUAUUUUAAUUCAAAUCAAAGUCAAUAAUAAUUUUAACUAUACAUGUCGUAAACUUUUAUCGAAAUUUAUUAAGUAUCUAACUUUAAUUCUUACCAAAUAUGGACUAGUCUCCAAAGACAUACUAAACAAGCCCUCAAUUUGUUUCAUCUCUAACAACUUAAAGGCUUAGAUCAUUAUGGUCAUUGCCAAUUUAGGAAAAUAGGCAUUUGGAAUAAUGAUAUUUGAUUACUAGGGGAAAUUUUUGUUAUAUCUAACUUAACCUUUCAAAUCACAUUGUUUAAUCGUGAUUAACUCCUAAUAAUGAAUGUAUAUCAGCAUCAUCCUUAAUGAAUGAAAAUAUCUAAUUCAACUGUUAAAAUAUAUAUAUAUAUAUAUAUAUAUAUAUAUAUAAAUUAAGGAAUCUUAAUAUUUAAUCAUCGUUGAGCUCGAUGGAACUUGUACUAAUAUGCUUAACAAAAAAUAAGAAAAAAAUAAUAUUUGUCUAAUAAAGCGUCCAAUACAAUCAAAUAUGGGAUAUCGAAAAAAAAAAUACGCAAUAAAAAUUUUUGUUCCCUGAAUAUCAAAAAUCUCCUCUCCUCUAACCAGCUACUUUGCUCAUUUCUCCCUAUGCCAAAAACAUAUAGAUUUAUCAAUGACGGCUCCUGGCUCAUUUCCCCCUUUGUUGCAGGUAAUUUCUUUGAUUCUUGAUGCUCAAUAGUAUUCUCUAAUCCUCCUCCGUAAUGGGAUUAGCUUAUAAAGAAGUAGAAAAUAUCUAGGACUACAAUGUUAUAUAUCACGAUUUCCUACUAAAACAAUGCAAUCACCAGCAUAGUAUAAUCCGAAAAUUUCUAGAAGAUAUUUCCCUUGAGCAAGAGGUUCAUUUGUAAAGCAAAGCUCAAAUAUGAAUACUAUGGUCAUUGGUUAUCUUUUCUUUUACUGCUGUUCUCUGGAGGAAGUGCUGUGAACUGGAUGAUCCUUUGAACUUGGGCAGCAUCGACAUGAAACCUCUCAGCAAUUUGAG